UGGGGAAUAUUGGACAAUGGGCGCAAGCCUGAUCCAGCCAUGCCGCGUGAGUGAUGAAGGCCUUAGGGUUGUAAAGCUCUUUCGCCGGUGAAGAUAAUGACGGUAACCGGAGAAGAAGCCCCGGCUAACUUCGUGCCAGCAGCCGCGGUAAUACGAAGGGGGCUAGCGUUGCUCGGAAUCACUGGGCGUAAAGCGCACGUAGGCGGAUCGUUAAGUCAGGGGUGAAAUCCUGGGGCUCAACCUCAGAACUGCCCUUGAUACUGGCGAUCUCGAGUUCGGGGGAGGUUGGUGGAACUCCGAGUGUAGAGGUGAAAUUCGUAGAUAUUCGGAAGAACACCAGUGGCGAAGGCGGCCAACUGGCUCGAUACUGACGCUGGGGUGCGAAAGCGUGGGGAGCAAACA
RNAcentral lists this ribosomal RNA (402 nucleotides) under uncultured bacterium. RNAcentral's name for it is "bacterial SSU rRNA". It matches the Rfam family "Bacterial small subunit ribosomal RNA", at positions 355 to 774 of the family's 1533-position model. The record is from RNAcentral.